GAAAUAUACAGAUAAGACUAAAGCUGCUAACUUUAAGUAAUAGCGGUUUAAUUCCGUUAAUAUUUCU
RNAcentral lists this transfer RNA (67 nucleotides) under Paragavialidium sichuanense. RNAcentral describes it as "tRNA-Ser". Lineage: Eukaryota; Metazoa; Arthropoda; Insecta; Orthoptera; Tetrigidae. The record is from RNAcentral.